This 446-nucleotide ribosomal RNA is filed under the name uncultured bacterium. RNAcentral describes it as "bacterial SSU rRNA". It matches the Rfam family "Bacterial small subunit ribosomal RNA", at positions 329 to 792 of the family's 1533-position model. The record is from RNAcentral.
GUCCAGACUCCUACGGGAGGCAGCAGUGGGGAAUAUUGCACAAUGGGGGGAACCCUGAUGCAGCGACGCCGCGUGAGUGAAGAAGUAUCUCGGUAUGUAAAGCUCUAUCAGCAGGGGAGAAAAUGACGGUACCUGACUAAGAAGCCCCGGCUAACUACGUGCCAGCAGCCGCGGUAAUACGUAGGGGGCAAGCGUUAUCCGGAUUUACUGGGUGUAAAGGGAGCCUAGACGGCGCUGCAAGUCCGGAGUGAAAGUCCAUGGCCUAACCCUGGUACUGCUCUGGAAACUGUGGAUCUUGAGUGCAGGAGGGGCAGGCGGAAUUCCUAGUGUAGCGGUGAAAUGCGUAGAUAUUAGGAGGAACACCAGUGGCGAAGGCGGCCUGCUGGACUGCAACUGACGUUGAGGCUCGAAGGCGUGGGGAGCAAACAGGAUUAGAUACCCUAGUA